This 58-nucleotide transfer RNA is filed under the name Miliusa indica. Its description in RNAcentral is "partial tRNA-Leu". The record is from RNAcentral. Lineage: Eukaryota; Viridiplantae; Streptophyta; Magnoliopsida; Magnoliales; Annonaceae.
GUCGACUUUAAAAAUCGUGAGGGUUCAAGUCCCUCUAUCCCCAAUAAAAGGGCCCAUU